UUGAAGCCUGCACGCUGCAGUAAGCCUCUUCCUUGGGUGCCAUGGUAGCUCACCAGGUGGUGCGCAGACCAUUAAGUCUGAGUCCUUACCGCAGUGACCUGGGUUUGAGUCUGGCUCAGGGUCCUUUGCUGUCUGUCUCUCUCACUAUCAAAAAAAAGCAGAAAUGCAAAAAGAAACGUAUCUUCCUUGCUGCGCUCCUCUAUCUAUUUAAUGUUGUACCCCACUCACAUCCAGUGUCUCCCGUCUUUUAGGCUGAGCCAGUUCAUGACAUGGAUUACUAAAUUCGACCACUUUGCUGGUUAGCCCAGAAAACGUUGUUUGUGCUGGUGCUGCACUGCCUGAAGCCGGUGUCUCCUGCUUCUCAGACUGAUUCCAGCGCUGCAUUCCUCUGCUCUGUCAGAUUGGCACACAGAAAAAGAGUCACCUGGCCGAAUGGAGAUGUCCGACGGUGUCUGGAAACCGAUGCGGACAUGGAGGCCGUCCAGCCCAUCAUCCAACGCCAGCACAUUGAAUGCCUGGCAGAGAAGAUCCACACGACCGCAGCCGGUGUCCAAUUCCUCCACACUUGCCUCGGUGCCUCCUCUGAUGUUGAAUAUAUGCAGAGCUGGUCUUGCUUGUCCAUUAAAUCAGACGCAGUGUUUUCUUGUCUGGCUUUGUUUGUUGCAUUGCUGCAAAAGUGACCUUUGGGAUGCCGCUACCGUAGACUAA
This 708-nucleotide long non-coding RNA is filed under the name Cottoperca gobio. RNAcentral describes it as "lncRNA (ENSCGOG00000009461.1)". The record is from RNAcentral. Lineage: Eukaryota; Metazoa; Chordata; Actinopteri; Perciformes; Bovichtidae.